UAUCUUUCCUGGGGGUGCCCACCAGUGUGGGCUGAGAGGCAGGGGCGACAAACCCGGCCAACCCUUCGAACCUGAGAUGGAUUAUACCAGCGUAGGGAAGGACCGCAAAAGUGGC
RNAcentral lists this non-coding RNA (115 nucleotides) under Dethiobacter alkaliphilus. RNAcentral describes it as "TPP sequence". It matches the Rfam family "TPP riboswitch aptamer (THI element)". Rfam says of the family: Vitamin B(1) in its active form thiamin pyrophosphate (TPP) is an essential coenzyme that is synthesised by coupling of pyrimidine and thiazole moieties in bacteria. The previously detected thiamin-regulatory element, thi box was extended, resulting in a new, highly conserved RNA secondary structure, the THI element, which is widely distributed in eubacteria and also occurs in some archaea. RNAcentral also lists the same sequence under 1 other name. Lineage: Bacteria; Bacillati; Bacillota; Dethiobacteria; Dethiobacterales; Dethiobacteraceae. The record is from RNAcentral.